UGUUUUCAUUCUUCUGACACCAACAACAGUUCAAUUACGAAUAUUUUAACCUGCGUCAUACUUAUAAUAGACAGUUGAUAUAUAAGGUUCAGCAGCAGACUGGUUAACCAAGAGUUGGAGGAGAAGCAGGACAGGAUUAGAGGAACGUUUUGAAGGCAGCUACUGCUUUGGGUAAAACAUUGAAAAUGGGGGCUAAAGGAAUCUUGAUGAUUCUACUCAUACUAAAUGCAAGUACAACAAUGAUGGAGGCACAGGCUCCACUCACAACAACAGCUGCACCAACCACAACGACAACGUAUCCAACCACAAAAACAGCAGCUCCAACUACAACCACAGCGGCUCCAACCACAGCUGCACCAACCACAACCACAGCUGCACAAACCACAACCACUGCUGCAGCAACCACAACAACAGCGACUCCAACUACAACAACAGCUGCACCAACCACAACUACAAUGGCUGCACCAACCACAAC
Non-coding RNA from Poecilia reticulata (guppy), 475 nucleotides. Lineage: Eukaryota; Metazoa; Chordata; Actinopteri; Cyprinodontiformes; Poeciliidae. The record is from RefSeq and is a predicted model, not a curated record.